RNAcentral lists this ribosomal RNA (200 nucleotides) under uncultured bacterium. RNAcentral describes it as "partial 16S ribosomal RNA". It matches the Rfam family "Bacterial small subunit ribosomal RNA", at positions 524 to 723 of the family's 1533-position model. The record is from RNAcentral.
UACGUAGGGUCCGAGCGUUGUCCGGAGUACUGGGCGUAAAGCGCGCGCAGGCGGCCCGCGGGGUGUCGACGUGAAAGCCCCGGGCUCAACUCGGGAGGGUCGUGGCAAACCGGCGGCUUGAGGCCGGUAGAGGUGGGUGGAACGUCCUGGUGGAGUGGUGAAGUGCGUAGAGAUCAGGAAGAACACCCGUGGCGAAGGCG